UACGUUCCCGGGUCUUGUACACACCGCCCGUCAAGUCACCUGAAUUGUCUUCACCCGAAGUCUGUGGCCUAACCGCAAGGAAGGAGCGGCCGAAGGUGAGGGGGGUAAGGGGGACU
This 116-nucleotide ribosomal RNA is filed under the name uncultured bacterium. RNAcentral describes it as "partial 16S ribosomal RNA". It matches the Rfam family "Bacterial small subunit ribosomal RNA", at positions 1367 to 1482 of the family's 1533-position model. The record is from RNAcentral.